RNAcentral lists this ribosomal RNA (361 nucleotides) under uncultured eukaryote. Its description in RNAcentral is "partial 18S ribosomal RNA". It matches the Rfam family "Eukaryotic small subunit ribosomal RNA", at positions 592 to 975 of the family's 1831-position model. The record is from RNAcentral.
CAAUAGCAUAUAUUAACGUUGUUGCAGUUGAAAAGCUCGUAGUUGAACUUUUGGUAGGAGCGACCUGGCCUUGGGCGCAUGCCCUUGUUUGCCGUGUGUCGUAUCUGGCCAUCCUUUUCUUCUUUUUGGAAGGAAUCUUUUACUGUGAGUAAACUGGAGUGCUCAAAACAAGACGUUUGUUUGGUACAUUAAAGCAUGGAAUAAUAAGAUAGGACCUGGUUACUAUUUUGUUGGUUUGCAUAGCUAGGUAAUGAUUAACAGGGACAGUUGGGGGUAUUCGUAUUUAAUUGUCAGGGGUGAAAUUCUUGGAUUUAUGAAAGACGAACGACUGCGAAAGCAUUUACCAAGGAUGUUUNCAUUA